AUGUUUGAUGUUCUAACGUUGGCCCCUUAUCGGGGUUGCGGACAGUGUCUGGUGGGUAGUUUGACUGGGGCGGUCUCCUCCCAAAGAGUAACGGAGGAGCACGAAGGUUAGCUAAUCCUGGUCGGACAUCAGGAGGUUAGUGCAAUGGCAUAAGCUAGCUUGACUGCGAGCGUGACGGCGCGAGCAGGUGCGAAAGCAGGUCAUAGUGAUCCGGUGGUUCUGAAUGGAAGGGCCAUCGCUCAACGGAUAAAAGGUACUCCGGGGAUAACAGGCUGAUACCGCCCAAGAGUUCAUAUCGACGGCGGUGUUUGGCACCUCGAUGUCGGCUCAUCACAUCCUGGGGCUGAAGUAGGUCCCAAGGGUAUGGCUGUUCGCCAUUUAAAGUGGUACGCGAGCUGGGUUUAGAACGUCGUGAGACAGUUCGGUCCCUAUCUGCCGUGGGCGCUGGAGAAUUGAGGGGGGCUGCUCCUAGUACGAGAGGACCGGAGUGGACGCAUCACUGGUGUUCGGGUUGUCAUGCCAAUGGCAUUGCCCGGUAGCUAAAUGCGGAAGAGAUAAGUGCUGAAAGCAUCUAAGCACGAAACUUGCCCCGAGAUGAGUUCUCCCUGAGACUUUAAGUCUCCUGAAGGAACGUUAAAGACGAUGACGUUGAUAGGUCGGGUGUGUAAGCGUAGCGAUACGUUGAGCUAACCGAUACUAAUGAACCGUGAGG
RNAcentral lists this ribosomal RNA (712 nucleotides) under Klebsiella aerogenes. RNAcentral describes it as "partial 23S ribosomal RNA". It matches the Rfam family "Bacterial large subunit ribosomal RNA", at positions 2210 to 2916 of the family's 2925-position model. The record is from RNAcentral. Lineage: Bacteria; Pseudomonadati; Pseudomonadota; Gammaproteobacteria; Enterobacterales; Enterobacteriaceae.